GAUACAGAGAGACCAAUGUCUUCUUCGUGAAAAUACAAAAAAAAAGAGUUCUCUUCAUCUUCUUCGAUUCUCAAGCUUUGAGUGCGCCGUUUCGUCUUUUGUUCUUAUCCUCCAAAUGGUUACGAGAUGCAUAGUUUCAACGGCAUUACGACCUACUUAACUCCUAAGACCCAAUUCAACCACGAUUACUUAUUCAAUGCAUUUGACCUCUAUUCAAGGCGGUGGAUCUCUAACUAUAAAAAGGUAAGCUUCCUCUCAUAAAUCUCAUCCUCACCGCAACCAAAUUGCCAAUCCUAGCCUCCCAAAUCGAAACCCUCAUCAGACGAUCAAUCUCCGGUUCUAUCUCACAUCGCUGUCCAAAUCCGACAUGGGCCAGACAGUUGUUUGCGGAGGAAGACUAUAAUGAUCAGAUAGGACCCUUGCUGUCAUGUCUCGAUUGCCUAGAGUUUGAGAUAUGCCGGAGCUUUGUCGUGGAUUCUGUCGUUGUCGUGUUACUGACGUUGUAGUCCUGACUCCUGAAUCAGCCUACAAACAAGAAACAAAGGAAGGGUAAUGACAACAUGGAUUCCAGCGGACUAACAGAAGAAGCCGUGGAGAAGCGGAGGCCAAAGACGCAAUUUGCGGCGAGUAAGUUGAAAGAUGAAAAAGUAAUCCUUUAGAAGAAUCAGUUUGAAAUGUAGUUGGUGAAGAAGAAAAGGAAGUUAUAUCGCUUGGUAAUGAUAGUGGUGGCUCUAACAAAGGCGUCUGCACAGGAAAUAAAUGGAGAUACUGCUGAUUUCUCUGAGAGGAUAAAGCUUUCUCUACGGUUAUGUUGUUAAAGAUGAUCAUAUCCAAGUCGGAGGAUCACCUAUAAAGGGAAGGGUGGUAUUGGAAAAGUGUUUGUGGGAUGGCGUAUUAGUGGUGGUAAUGAACCUACUGCAGAAGCUAGCAUUUUGGAGUUAGUGUAACUCAUUCUGCGUUAAGAUCCUGUUAUUAGCAUGAUUAUGUAAACAUUGUCUCACAUGUCCAUUUUCCUUAAUAUAUGUGAAGUUUGAGCAUC
Molecule: RNA transcript, 1039 nt
Organism: Brassica oleracea var. oleracea
Lineage: Eukaryota; Viridiplantae; Streptophyta; Magnoliopsida; Brassicales; Brassicaceae
Exons: 2
Source: RefSeq, a predicted model, not a curated record